UGCAAGUCGAACGAUGAUGCCCAGCUUGCUGGGCGGAUUAGUGGCGAACGGGUGAGUAAUACGUGAGUAACCUGCCCUUGACUCUGGGAUAAGCCUGGGAAACUGGGUCUAAUACUGGAUACUACCUCCUGCCGCAUGGUGGGUGGUGGAAAGGGUUUUACUGGUUUUGGAUGGGCUCACGGCCUAUCAGCUUGUUGGUGGGGUAAUGGCUCACCAAGGCGACGACGGGUAGCCGGCCUGAGAGGGUGACCGGCCACACUGGGACUGAGACACGGCCCAGACUCCUACGGGAGGCAGCAGUGGGGAAUAUUGCACAAUGGGCGGAAGCCUGAUGCAGCGACGCCGCGUGAGGGAUGACGGCCUUCGGGUUGUAAACCUCUUUCAGUAGGGAAGAAGCGAGAGUGACGGUACCUGCAGAAGAAGCGCCGGCUAACUACGUGCCAGCAGCCGCGGUAAUACGUAGGGCGCAAGCGUUGUCCGGAAUUAUUGGGCGUAAAGAGCUCGUAGGCGGUUUGUCGCGUCUGCUGUGAAAGCCCGGGGCUCAACCCCGGGUCUGCAGUGGGUACGGGCAGACUAGAGUGCAGUAGGGGAGACUGGAAUUCCUGGUGUAGCGGUGAAAUGCGCAGAUAUCAGGAGGAACACCGAUGGCGAAGGCAGGUCUCUGGGCUGUUACUGACGCUGAGGAGCGAAAGCAUGGGGAGCGAACAGGAUUAGAUACCCUGGUAGUCCAUGCCGUAAACGUUGGGCACUAGGUGUGGGGGACAUUCCACGUUUUCCGCGCCGUAGCUAACGCAUUAAGUGCCCCGCCUGGGGAGUACGGCCGCAAGGCUAAAACUCAAAGGAAUUGACGGGGGCCCGCACAAGCGGCGGAGCAUGCGGAUUAAUUCGAUGCAACGCGAAGAACCUUACCAAGGCUUGACAUUCACCGGACCGCCCCAGAAAAUGGGGUUUCCCUUCGGGGCUGGUGGACAGGUGGUGCAUGGUUGUCGUCAGCUCGUGUCGUGAGAUGUUUGGGUUAAGUCCCGCAACGAGCGCAACCCU
RNAcentral lists this ribosomal RNA (1041 nucleotides) under Kocuria rosea. RNAcentral describes it as "bacterial SSU rRNA". It matches the Rfam family "Bacterial small subunit ribosomal RNA", at positions 56 to 1105 of the family's 1533-position model. The record is from RNAcentral. Lineage: Bacteria; Bacillati; Actinomycetota; Actinomycetes; Micrococcales; Micrococcaceae.